UCUGAAGCGGGUCCCCGUCAGGCUCAGGAGGAGGCGGAGGGUUCCCGGCUGCGGGCGGAGGCCGCUUCGAAAGGCUCCGUUUCGCGGUGGGGGGCCUCCCCGUCCACUCUGCACUUCUGCGGGGAGCCGGCCAACGGCAGUCGCCCCCGGCUCUGGAGGCGUUUUCCGGGGGAGGUGGCCCUGCGCUCCGGCGCGGGGAGCGUACAGCCCCGGCGCCCGGCAGUCCGGGCNAAUUUCGAUGAGAAUUCGAGGCGACUGAGGAGAGAAACGUCGCGGUCCCUCGCGCGUGGCGGCGCGGGCCUUCCUCCCCGUCGGUCCCUUUCGGCUCUCGCGGGCCGGGAGGCGCUCGGCGGGCGGGCGGAGGCUGGGCCCUUCCCGUCGGGGAGACGGCCGGGGGGGCCACUGCUCGUCCAGUGGUCCGCCACGGCCAACCCUCCGGCGGGAGUCGGGUCACACCUCGCGCCGCGGUCG
This 471-nucleotide ribosomal RNA is filed under the name Chondrocladia clavata. RNAcentral's name for it is "partial 28S ribosomal RNA". The record is from RNAcentral. Lineage: Eukaryota; Metazoa; Porifera; Demospongiae; Poecilosclerida; Cladorhizidae.